This 253-nucleotide ribosomal RNA is filed under the name uncultured bacterium. RNAcentral's name for it is "partial 16S ribosomal RNA". It matches the Rfam family "Bacterial small subunit ribosomal RNA", at positions 524 to 776 of the family's 1533-position model. The record is from RNAcentral.
UACAGAGGUCCCAAGCGUUGUUCGGAUUCACUGGGCGUAAAGGGUGCGUAGGUGGUGAGGUAAGUCGGAUGUGAAAUCUCGGAGCUCAACUCCUAAAUGGCAUUGGAAACUACCUCGCUAGAGGAUCGGAGGGGAGACUGGAAUUCUCGGUGUAGCAGUGAAAUGCGUAGAUAUCGAGAGGAACACCAGUGGCGAAGGCGAGUCUCUGGACGAUUCCUGACGCUGAGGCACGAAAGCCAGGGGAGCAAACGGG